AGACGAGGGAUCCUAGCGUUGUUCGGAAUUAUUGGGCGUAAAGCGGGUGUAGGUGGCUUGAUAAGUCAGGUGUGAAAGCCCAGGGCUUAACCCUGGAAGUGCAUUUGAUACUGUCGAGCUUGAGUGUAGGAGAGGUUACUAGAAUUCUUGGUGUAGUGGUGAAAUACGUAGAUAUCAAGAGGAAUACCAGAGGCGAAGGCGGGUAACUGGCCUAACACUGACACUCAGACCCGAAAGACGUGGGGAGUC
Molecule: ribosomal RNA, 249 nt
Filed under: uncultured bacterium
Lineage: Bacteria
Description: partial 16S ribosomal RNA
Rfam family: Bacterial small subunit ribosomal RNA
Source: RNAcentral